Molecule: transfer RNA, 59 nt
Filed under: Apaloderma vittatum (bar-tailed trogon)
Lineage: Eukaryota; Metazoa; Chordata; Aves; Trogoniformes; Trogonidae
Source: Rfam by way of RNAcentral
UAGCUCAGUCGGUUAGAGCGCGGUGCUGAUAACACCAAGGCUGCGGGUUUGAUCCCCGU